This 234-nucleotide unclassified non-coding RNA is filed under the name Hevea brasiliensis (rubber tree). The record is from RNAcentral. Lineage: Eukaryota; Viridiplantae; Streptophyta; Magnoliopsida; Malpighiales; Euphorbiaceae.
CGACAAUAUCCUCCAAACACUCGGAGAUUUCACUAGCAAAGAGAAUUGGGACAAUUUCUUCACCAUACGCGGCCAUGGCGAUGCUUUUGAGUGGUAUGCCGAGUGGCCCGAGCUCAAAGACCCACUCAUUUCCCACCUUCCCACCCUCUCCAAAUCCCCUUCUCCCCAGAUUCUCGUUCCUGGUUGCGGCAACUCCAGUCUCUCUGAGCAGCUCUACGACGCGGGCUUUCGAUG